UUUUUUUUUUUUUUUUUUUUUUUGUCAUUUCUUGGGCUGCUCUCAUGGCAUAUGGAGGUUCCCAGGCUAGGGGUCAAAUCGGAGCUACAGCUGCCGGCCUACGCCACAGCCACAGCAAUGCCAGAUCCGAGCCUUGUCUGCUCCUUACACCACAGCUCAUGGCAACAGAGGCCAGGGAUUGAACGCACAUCCUAAUGGAUCCUAGUUGGAUUCAUUUCUGCUGUGCCACAAUGGGAACUCCCCUUCCUUUGUAUUUUAAAGAACAGUGUCUAAAGUAGGUCCCAUCCUUUUGUUAUUCUCAACCACAGUUCCAACGGUUGAGUGUCUCCUGGGAUAUGCAUGCUCUGUUCCAUUUCUUUCUUUUUUUAAACAGACCCAGAGUCCCAGAAGAAGUUAGAUGUUGUGCUUACAAACUGCAUACACAUGGGCAUCAUGGAAGUGCAAAACUCCAAUAAAGAAAUAAGCACAUGGUUUCUUAGUUCAUUUUUUAUGUUAAUGAUGAAAGUGCAGGUAAGAAAAUAAGAACUAGCCUUAAGGACAUAUAAGUGAUGGAAAGAGAAGGAAAAUUCUAGGUGGAGCCCAGAGAAGUUAUCAUUCUCUUCCUAUCAACAUUGGGUGGAUGUGCAGGCCCCUUGCUUUAUAGCAGCAGAACAAAAUAAAAUGACUGAUGAUCAAAGAAACUCACAGAUGCCUACAGAAUUAAAUUAUCAACCCACUUUGACAUUUUGCAAGUAUAAAUAGAAACAGAAAUAACUAGAGGUGUAGAAAUAGUUGAAGAAGCCCCUCAACAUUAAAUUCUAAACUUCAAAUUUGAAACACCUAGAGAUUGGGGUUUCUCUGUAAUCUAUAAAUCAGCCUUGAUUCAAAGAAAUAGCCAGGCUGGCAUGGGGGAGCAACUUUAGAUCUGGCCAGCACAGGACCUGGGGAGGCUCAGUAGAGACCCACUAUCUGUUAAUAAGGAAGAAGACCCAAAACAGAGCCAGGACAAAUAAUUCUGUCAUUUUAAUGUCAAAAGUGUCCAACCAUUCUUUAUUGUGAAAAGGAUACAUAAUUAAGCUGUAUCUUUAUAUUAUUAUUUUUUUUUUACUAUUUGGCAUAUUAUUCAUUCCCAGUGAUGUUUCAUUUCUCCUCAAAUGAUUCUUUUGCAACCUUUAGAAAGCCCUGCAAUUUCCUUUUCAUUUGGCCGAACGUGGCAGACACAGGAGGGAGAGCUUCUAAAUCCUGUUGCUCAGAAUAUGGCUUUUUUUUUUUUUUUUUUUUUUUUGUCUUUUCAGGGUCGCACCCACUGCAAAUGGAGGUUCCCAGGCUAGGGGUCUAAUCGAAGCUACAGCUGCCAGCCUACACCAGAGCCACAGCAACGCCAGAUCUGAGCCACGUCUGUGACCUAUAGCACAGCUCAUGGCAAUGCCUGAUCCUUAACCCACUGAGUAAGGCCAGGAAUCGAACUCAAAACCUCGUGGUUCCUCGUGGUUUCUGCUGCGCCACAACGGGAACUCCCAGAAUAUGUUUAAAAAAAAAAAAAAAAGCAGGACCCCAGACAGGUGUGUAACUGUUUGAAUGGGCUAUCUCUUAUACAACUAGGAAUAAGACCUACUUGGAAGAAGUUUUGCUCUAGAAACUGUUGAUGCUCUUGACUUAUUGAGGGGAGUUCCAUAAAAUGGCCAUUACCAACUGUAUAAGACAAAACUCGUGUUAGCUCGAAGGUUAGUCCCUGUUUUAAAAUCCCAAAAAAGAUAAACCCUAUUAUGGGCCAUUUCCACUUUCCCCACUGCUUCCCUGACAAGAGGUAAUGUGGGUCUGAGGAGGAAACUGAAGAUUCAUGGCCCAAAUAGAGCAGAAGUCUUGUCUUGUGUAACUGCCCAAAUGCUAAUACAAACUCAUUGUUGCUCAAUUUGUUCUUUAAAAGCUGUGCUUUAUUCUAUUAACUUUGAUUUGCCCUCUUAGCUUCUGUCAUUUUUCCAUACUGGACUGUCCUGGCAAUCCUCCUCACCUUUCUGUCUGGGUUUCAGUCUCUGACAGGGGCUCUGUGCCUAGGUCUCCCUGCCAGGAUCCAUCUGGCCCAUCGGUAACUAACAGUCAUCUUAGCCUUGUCCAGUGGUGAUAGCUUCACCCGUAGAUUUAACUGAGACAAAACUGAACAACUUACCAUAAAUAUCGGAGUCAAGAAAAAAUUAUUAGGAGACUAGGCGUACAUAAGUUUAGAUAAAAACAGAGAAGGCAGGACGACAGUGUGGUCCAAGUAAUUUUCUCUGUGCAAAGAUGCCUUCUAUUUAGUAUAACUAAACACAUUACUUCUGGGGAAAAAAAAAAACAACAACAAAAAUUCACACUCCAAAAAAGGGAGAAAAACUAGUAUUGAGAGCAAUUAUGAGUAUGACUUAAAAUGUCACUUUUCAUCUGUUGUACAGGAGAGUAAAUAUCAUGAAAACUUAACCAUGAUAAGGAAAAAAAAAACACUUAACCAUGAUGAAAUAUUUGUCAAACAGUAUUUGUUCCUAUAUUAAGAAAUUAAUACCCACAUGCACAACUUUGAGUUGAUAGAAACUAAAAACUUAAGGUAAUAGAAUUAAGGAUUUCAUUUUCCUUUUUAGAGUUUUAUAUAUUUUUCAAAUUUUUUGGAAAGGCGUUUUGGAAAUAGAAAAAAAAAAAAA
Molecule: long non-coding RNA, 2651 nt
Filed under: Sus scrofa (pig)
Lineage: Eukaryota; Metazoa; Chordata; Mammalia; Artiodactyla; Suidae
Description: lncRNA (ENSSSCG00050030103.1)
Source: RNAcentral